AGCAGCCGCGGUAAUUCCAGCUCCAAUAGCGUAUAUUAAAGUUGUUGCAGUUAAAAAGCUCGUAGUUGAAUUUCGGGAUCAAGUCGUCGGUCGUGCCUCGGUACGCACUGGUGACAUUGGUUUCUCCCUUCUGAAGAACCUUGAUGUCAUUAAUUUGGUGUCUUGGGGAAUCAGGACUGUUACUUUGAAAAAAUUAGAGUGUUUAAAGCAAGCCCACGCUUGAAUACAUUAGCAUGGAAUAAUGAAAUAGGACGUUUGAUUCUAUUUUGUUGGUUUCUAGGAUCGACGUAAUGAUUAAUAGGGAUAGUUGGGGGCAUUAGUAUUCAAUUGUCAGAGGUGAAAUUCUUGGAUUUAUUGAAGACUAACUACUGCGAAAGCAUUUGCCAAGGAUGUUUUCAUUGAUCAAGAACGAAAGUUAGGGGAUCGAAGACGAUCAGAUACCGUCGUAGU
RNAcentral lists this ribosomal RNA (450 nucleotides) under uncultured Glomeromycotina. RNAcentral describes it as "SSU rRNA". It matches the Rfam family "Eukaryotic small subunit ribosomal RNA", at positions 569 to 1024 of the family's 1831-position model. The record is from RNAcentral. Lineage: Eukaryota; Fungi; Glomeromycota.